Lactuca sativa (garden lettuce) is the source of this 343-nucleotide long non-coding RNA. RefSeq lists it as uncharacterized. The record is from RefSeq and is a predicted model, not a curated record. NCBI's taxonomy places the organism in Eukaryota, Viridiplantae, Streptophyta, Magnoliopsida, Asterales, Asteraceae.
CUUAAAUGUUCCAAAUGAGCAGCUAAAAAUCCCAAAAUCUCCCCCUAUGAAUGAUGAAUUGAGAGUCUCAACUGGCUCAAGAACUCUUGAACCUGUUGCAUAAGGUCUGAUUCGAGGAAGAUCAUACACCAUUAGGCUUGAUGACCAAGUUCUACUAAGAUUCUCACCCACAAAACCUGAAUCAACUUAUUACUUUGGUGAUAUGAUAGGUGGAACUCUUACCUUUUUCCACGAGGAAGAAACUAGAAGAUGUCUUGAGCUUUCAGUAACCUUGGAGUUAUCCGAGACUAUAAGUCGUCGCUCUGCACAUCCUUCUAGAAAAUAUUCCCCAACAAUUACAAAG